UGACCGUCGGAAAAUUGAGGCGAAUUAUGAAAGAGAGUGGCCAUGAUGUGGAAUCUGAUGAGCGGCGGCGGCGGUGGGGCGAGAAUUGAGGCGGAGAAAAUGAGUGGACUCAGUUGUUGGACGCUUGUGACGGUGAUGAAACAGGUGGUUUUGAUUCUCUGACAUAAAAACUUAGGUCGGUUGAUUGAUUUGUUGUGAUCAAACAAUUUUUAUUUUUCUUAGUUAUAUUUGUUUUAUUCGGUUGAUGUUAGUUACUGCAGUAUUAUUCAAUUGAAUACUUUAAUCGGAAAAUAUUACCCAACUUUGUUCGUAUACAGGUUCAUAGGAUACAAUUUAUAAAGGCGUUUUCGAUUCCUUUUUCUCCAUUUUUGUCUUUUUCAUUUCCACCGACUGCCACAUGAUUUUGCAUGAGAUCUCAUCAAACUCGUUUAUGGGAUCUCUGAUUAACGAAAAUUCCUAUUAAAAGGAUUACGUACUGUAUUUGCUAUUAAAGAGCAAGAGUUGUACUGGUCCAGAGAAGAUUAACAUAAUCCCUGUGAAUGGAUAUUUACUAAGAAAAGAGUUAUUUAAGUUGCCGAGAAACUAAGAGCAUAAUCAUGUUGAUUUCUGCUAAAGAUAGUAAGUUUUGCUGUUACUUUAUUUACAAGCUAAGUUACCGAAGUAUGUACAUUUGUUGGCAUGUUGCUUUUAAGGAAGUAACCCAAUGAUCAAGUGGUUACAUUGAAAAUGUAAUAUCACGUGUUUAAAUUGUGGUUACUGGUUUACUGCUAUUAAUAUUAGUCUUGUCUGAGCCUUGUUAACUAUAUUCAUAAAGAAGUGAUUUGUAUACAUAAAAUAGGUGGUAGGUUUAAUACAUUCACUAAUUGAAAUCAUCUUUGCUAUUAGGUCACUUCAAAUAUUCUUUUCUGAAUAUCUAUUUUGUCUUUCAGUUGGUCUAUUGCUCAAAUUUUUCUUAGUUUGAUUCCCUAGCUAGUUGACAAUAAUUUGUUUCAAAUGACUGGAGCUCUGCUUGUCUAGGUUGUGGUUGAAUUUCUGAAUAUUUUUGCAAUUUCGUUGAAGCUGAAACCUUAUAGAAUAGUUAUCUCGCCUCAUUUAUCGAUAUUUACUAUAGCUAUAUUUCAUAGGCAACAUACUUGGAUUCUAGACUAACAAUGUAUCCUUGGGAGUAGUAUAAUAUCUUAGUUGCCCUUAAUUAGGGGUGUCAAUGAUUCGGUUCGGCCGGUUAUUUUAUAAAUUUUGUACCAUAUCAAUUGUUCGGUUAUUCUAUUAUGUACAACCAAAAUUAGACUUUUCGAAACCGUCCUAACUAUAUCGGUUUCUCUUCGGUAUCGGUUCGGUUCGGUUAAUUUUCGGUUUUUCUUAAAUGUCAUGUAAAAGUCACUAGAAGAAGUAAAAUACAGUAACAUACGUACUUUUAUAGGACUUAGUAAAACUCUCUAAACAUUUUUACAUUUUAAAGGGUGAUGAAUUAAGAAAAUAUGAAAGAUGGCUAGAGUAUAGAUCCAUCAAUAUUCUACCGUAGCGUCAAAAAAUUAAGCAAAUUAAUACAAAGAAAAUAUAAAUCACACGAGUGGAAAUAUAUUAAUCAAGUUGAGACUGAGACUCAAGAAUUAAGUCUAUAGAAGAUUAAAUAUUUAAAAAGAUAAAUCUAAAUCAAACGAGAGGAAACAUAAUACAUUGUAGUUUGCUACUCAUAAUCGCUACAAUACCUUGUGUCUUGCUAGUGAAUAUACUGAAAAUAAUUUAGUUUUUAUAGGAGUAGCAUAAUAGGUUUGGGAAUUAAGAUUUUGUGUUUAAUUACUUGUUAGCUUGUAACUAUUUUCAUAAUUACAAGAACCAAGAAAAAUUAAAUGCUUUAUUAUUUUUAAACUUAAUAUAUAAAUAUAGUUUUAACAUGUAAAUUUUUUCGGUACGGUUCGGUAUUUUUCGGUUUAUUUUCAUAAAAUAAAAAGAACCUAUCCUAAUUAUCGGUACGGUUAUAGAUUUACAUAAAAAGCUACGAUUUUAUUAAAAGAAACCUAACAAUCGGUUCGGUAUGGUACGGUUCGGUCGUUUUAGUCGGUCUUUAAAUAUCCAUUGACACCCCUACCCUUAAUUAACUAGUUAAGCAUCUUUUGGCAAGCCAAUUUCAUCAUUGGAUCCGAUCCAAUUCUCCUUUUAUAUAAUCUUUUUUUCAUUUUCACUCUUUGCUGCAUAAUUGGCUAAGUACAACAACCUAGUGGGAUCCCACAAGUGGGGUCUGAGGAAGGUAAUAUGUACGUAGACCUUGCCCCUAACCUGGAGGGCAGGGAGACUUUUUCGAAAGGCCCUCGGCUCGAGAGGAAGAAUAGGAAUAAGUAAAUAAAAACAAGGCCAAGAAAAUGAUAUCAACAAUGCAAGGACCGGAGAAAAAUAAAUUGAAGAGAGCAGUAGCAAUAGCAAUAUCAAAAGUAAUAUCCACAAGCAAUAACACGACAGGGUGCUAGAAAACCGAAGCGGAAGAUAGUACUAAAAUAACCCUAAUACUAGCAUUCUAAGAAUCGAAGACAAUGUACUAGUCAACUAGCCCUAAUAAACCUGGAACAGACCAGAAAAAUACACGACGACCUAUUACCUUUCUACCCUAAUCUUAGACCUCCAUAGCCUCCUGUCAAGGGUCAUGUCCUCGGUAAGCUGAAGUCGCGCCAUGUCCUCGGUAAGCUGAAGUCGCACCAUGUCUUGCCCGAUCACCUCUCCCCAGUGCUUCUUAGGCCGCCCUCACCUCUUCUCCUACCUGCCAGCGCUAGCCGUUCACACCUCCUCACUGGAGCAUCUAGGCUUCUCCUUCUCACAUGCCCGAACCAUCUAAGCCUCGCUUCAUGCAUUUUAUCUUCCAUAGGGGCCACACCCACUUUCUCCCAAAUAACUUCAUUCCUAAUUUUGUCCAAUCUAGUGUGCCCACACAUUUAUUGCAACAUUCUCAUUUCGGCUAUGUUCAUCUUCUCGAUAUGAGAGUUCUUGACUGGCCAGCAUUCUGCCCCAUAUAGCAUAGCCAGUCUAACCGCCGCCUUGUCGAACUGACUCUUAAGUUUUGGUGGCACAUUCUUGUCACACAGAACGCCAGAUGCUAGCCUCCAUAUCCACCCCGCCUCUAUACCGUGUGUGACAUCCCCAUCAAUCUCCCUGUCCCCUUGGAUAACUGGCCCGAGAUACUUGAAACUUACUCUCUUGGGGAUGACUUGUGAAUUAAGCCUCACGUCUAGCCGGAAAAUGUUCCGAAUCUCCUCUCACUAUCCUCACCCGAGUCUUAGCUCCAGCAUACAUGUCCCUAAUCUCUCUAAUGUACGCUAUAGGAACACCUCUAGCCUCCAAGCAUUUCCAAAGGACCUCCGGAGGGACCUUCUCGUACGCUUUCUCUAGGUCAAUAAACACCAUAUGCAAAUCUUUUUUCCUAUUCGCCUAACAAGAUGGAUGGCUUCCGUAGUCGAACGUCCCGGCAUGAAACCGAACUGGUUCUCAGAAAUAGACAUUGUCUUUCUAACCCUCGCUUCUACCACCCUUUCCCACACUUUCAUCGUGUGACUAAGUAACUGGAUACCCCUAUAAUUAUUGCAAUUUUGAAUACCUCCUUUGUUCUUGUACAACGGGAUCAUCGUACUCCACCUUCAUUCCUUGGGCAUCACUUAAUUGGCUAAGUGACAAUUAUAUAAGUGUCUCAAGGAGAACAGUUUAGUGACCAAGAGAGUAGCAUUGGAACCAUGGUGAGAAGGGUAUAGCAUGAAUCACUACUACUGUUUCAGUUGGAUCCUUCCCUUUUAUACACAGAUUGCUGGACUCCGGGGAGGAGCUAACCUUCUGCUUACGGGUUCGGCCGAAUCCAGUAGCUUUUGUGCAGACUCUGUAUUUGUCUUGAAAAAUUCAUGGAAUAUGUAUAAAUUAUUAUUGUAGAACCCAGUAACUUAAAAGAACUAGAAACCCGAACCAAUAAGCUUCAAAUACUGGCUCCGCCUCUGACUGGACUCCGCCAAUAUUUAGCAGUACCAUUCUCCUUUUCAACUUUGAUCAUUUUCAUCAUCUAUGGCCCUAAUACUAUGGUUCUCCGAUCCGUCAAAUUGUAAGCUCGCUAUGUGGUCUACUUCUCUGUCUAUGGAAACCUUUUCAAGUCAUCCAUUCUCUUUCGUAUGUAUACAAAGUAAUCUGUCACGCCUUUCUUCACCAACAUCCGUUUCUCAUUCAAGAAACUGGUGAAAGUUUUUUUCCUUUGCUACAACUUUCACAGUCUCACUACUCCUUAGACUAGAUUGGGCUGCAUUGCCAAGGCUCCUCGAGAUACUUUAUUAAAACAGACUUUCCAUAGUUUGAUUGAAAUUAGUAUAUUACGAAUAAUUUAACAAUUGAUUUCCAUAAUUUUAAUUAUACAUGUGACGUGGGCAGAAUGCCAUGAACAAAUGUACCAGAAGCGAGAUCCAGAACAAGAGACAAAAGAACUAUGAUCAAUAAUAACCAAUAAUGGACUUUGUCAUGAUUGAAAGGUGAAGUUUCAUCUAUGAUUAGUGAUGUGUGGACCACUUAACUGGUUGGCAUCCAGUAAGUCAGUUUCCACUUUCCAGUCAUUGCAGAAUACGGUUCCUCAUUCACAAUUCAUUGUCUACACAGAUAAAUACGAUGUGUCCAAAUAAGCUAACGCCCGAGCCUAUAAGAUACGUACUAGAAUAAAUCUAAAAUUCUCCUGGUCCACUGUACAAUGAUAUGGGUCGUCAUGUGGUGCAAAAUUUCAAGUUUUCAACAUAUAGUCUUCGAUAAGGACUUUUGUCCUACUAUAAUCUACACUCGUGAUUCCAUCUUGAGUGAAGAUUCGAGUUACCCCUUGCUCUAGGAUGUGUAAAACCUGUGCCUACAAUCAUUUGUUAGACUAUGGUAGGACCAGGGAAUUUUAUGGGCCACAGCCCACAGGGUUUUGGUUCAGGUUUAGUGGUUGCAGUGAUACGAAGAUUAGACGCACGUCACAAGUUGAAACACUACAUAGAGGUAAUCCGGAAUCUUGAACAUAUGCGCCAACUAUCGCCGAGUCCCCGGUAUUAGAAGAAACAAAGGGAACUUUGUAUGACAAUCUAACUCUUUUGACUUUUAGUAGCCUAAUCCUUGAAAUUAGAAAGAAAGCUCCCAUCAUAGAGCUUCUUGCCGCUGUCUGAGUUGCGCGAACUCUUCGUUUCUCGACACGGGACGGCUGCGGGUGCGGGAUACGUCCAGGAUUCGGUCAACUAACUUCAGAUACUUCAUCGACAAAUUCGGGGGGAAAUUUGAGAUUUUGAUUUCUCACAUUUUAAAAAUAAAACAGAUUUAAGACAUAGAAAAUGACAUAACUUCAAUAUUGUAGUACUUUUGUCUCAUAUUUUUGCUGCUUUGUGUUUCAUAAAAAUAAAAAAUUCAAAGGGUCGUGUUUUGAGUUCGGACUUCUGGUUGAUAGUAGCAGCGAUAUAGAUGGUGGGUUUUUCACAUAAUAGCUCUCAAAAUUUAUAACAUCUUUAUAGCUCUAUUUUUUAUAAUUUUGAAUUUUAUUAGCCGAAUCCCCGCACUCAUAUCCAUACGUGCAUCCGCACCCCCGAAUCUUAAAUUUAGAUUUUGCCGAAUCCGACACUCGGAUCCGUGCCCGUAUCGGAUACCUGGACCCAAGUUCGAGCAACUUAGGCCGCUGUAGUGUGGUUGCUAAAAGUUCUGUGCCAACUUUUACCCUACAUUUAGGGAAGGAAAGAAGAGAAGGAAAGGUACAAAGAAAAAGAAAAUUAAUGCAGUCUAUUCAAGAACAGAACUGUAUUUGAAGCUGUUGAUCAAGUUCCUUAUGAUAUGAAACUGGAGCAAAUUAUGCAAAAUUGUUAGAAAUAGCAAAGUAUAAUGUGUUAACGUCGAUUGGCAAAAGAAGUCAUACUUAUAAAACUAAGUAAAUUUUGUAUUGUUCCUCCAUUAAAAGAAAAGUACAUUCUCAGCUAAUCAAAACUUCAGCUUCAGUGCAACACUGCAAAACAUGAGGCUACAGUAGUAUUGCCAAUUCACCAAUAAUUAGAAGGGGUUAAGAUAUCUAAUCUCUACUUGUAACUUAAUCAUUUCACCAACACUCUUUCUUUCAACAAAUAACCCCAUAACUGAUGCCACUUAAUCUGGUCUCCAACAAAGCACUGCUUCAAUGGAUCCCACCACUAAAACAAAAAGAUUGUGUUCGAACUUCAAACACCACCCUUCCCCACAAACACCCCAAAAGAAAAAGAUAAAGAGAAGAAAAGAAAGAGUGGAGUUUGCCGAAGUGAGGGGUGUAAUCUAAAAGAUAGGUCAAUAAGACCAGAAAAUAAAGGCCAUGGAAGCCAAAUUUUUAGGAUGCUUCGCGAAGAUAAGAGAAUCCCAGCCUUCACUUCCUAUGAAUAAAGAUGACUGCGGCCCUAGGACUUUGUUUUGGUUUAGUGGUAAGAGCAAUGUAUGGGUUAGGUAGAUGUGCGGGCCGAGUUUCAACAGUACCCCAACUAGCACUUGUACAUUCCUCGGUUACCAAAAAAAAUGAACCUAGAUAACUGUAUACUCUCACACUUGAACGAUGAGGAAAUUACAAAACCCAACUUUCUCAAGAAACAAAGGAAGCUCAUGGUCUUUGUUAUCCCUUAAUUCUGAUCAUUUAGCUUCAUGGUUAAUAUAUUAACAUCAAUGCUUAUGGACCAUAUUGCGUUUAAGCUAAAUUGUGGAAGCUGAAAGUAUCAGGAUGCAACAAAAAAUCCGUUGUCAUGUCAAGUAAGAUUUCAAGAACCAACAAAAUGAAGAGAUGACCUAUACAUUUACAGGACUUAAAAAACAAAAGAGAAAUGUAGUAAAUAAUAGUUGCAGAAUCAAGACUGAAAUCAAGCUGAUUAUCAAGUAUGGCAUGCUUUGCUGAAUUUGCUUCUAAAAGAAUACUACACAAAAGGCAAACUCACCUCUAAGUUAUCAUUUAACAAAAAAGACCAAACAAAGAGAAUAAGAGAUCAGAAUUCACUACAUGCCUUCUGUUCUUCUAAGCCAUGGCAAGUCCAUACUAGAAGGAGGUCGAUCGUCCAUUUGAAAGUCUGAAGAACUCGCGAAUUUGCCUCUUUUCGACCAUAGCCAAAUCUUGGAAACAGAAUAGCUAUCUGUUUUUCUCCCAAUACCUAUCUUUUUCCCCUCGUUAUCUGCGUCAAUUGAUGGAUUAGGAUCCUUCUCAACCAAAUUGGCUCGAUUCAUAUUGUUUGCCUUCCGUUCACUGCUCAAGGCUACCUUAAGAUUAACAUCACCAACCACAUACUGAUAUGAACCCAUUGAAAAGCACCUUCUAGCAUCCAAAUUACUACUACUGCUUUCUCCUACACCUUCUCCUUCCCCUGCCCCAUUAUCCAAUUUUCGAAACUUACCAAGUCUCACAGGAAAGGUCGCUUUAGCACCUGCAACUUCUUCUAUUUCAAUUGUUUUAUGAGAAGUGGAGAACUCAUGAUCCGCAUUACCACGAUAUCCAUCAUCUUCUCUUGGCUCAUCGAAAUCAAACAUUGGAUUUUCUAUUGGAAACCCGGGAUUGUAAAGGGCUCCUCGACAAAGGGGGCAUGUUGAGUUUGAGAGGAGCCAAGUAUCAAUGCAGUUGAUAUGAAAAGCAUGGCUGCAAGUAGGGAGCAAUCUCAAUUUGUCCUUGUCAGAGAAUUCACACAAACAAACAGCACAAUCAAAUGGCUCUUUAGGACCCACAACUUCUUUGUACAUAAAGACAGGCAAUGCAUCAAUAAAUGCUUGAUCCAAACCAGAGUCAUGUAAAUGGAAUAGCUGCUGUAACUGUCUUUGUAAAGCAUCUGAAGUAGAAACUUCAGGGUAUCCAUUAGACUGAGAUGAUGCUGAAGAAGAAGGGUGUUUGAUAAGGAAUCUAACUAGCAAGUGGAGUAGACCAGAUAUGAAAAAUAGGACAGCUAAUAUUACUAUAAUAAAAAGAACAGCUGGACUAAUUUUGUUGGAAGAACUAGAAGUGUUUGGUUCAUUGUGAAAAUUAGAACUUGAGCCAAAUGAAGGAGGAGAUGGGGGAAACAGAGGAGGGGGAUAUGUAAAGACACCAUCUUUUUUAUGUUGAAUCCAAGAAUUUUUCAAAUGGGUAUGACCAGAAACCCAUCUUUGUGACCUAACUUGAGCAAAUGAACAAAUCAUCUUUAACAACACAUUCAAAAAAACCAAAUACCAGCAACUUUUCAACUUCUUUUCACCAUCUCUGAACCAAAAAAUCCAACACCCGAAAUCACAAAUUUUAUCCUCAGAUUCAAGAAAAUGGUGGUUGCAUCAGAAAGUUGCAAUCUUGCAGCAGGUUGGGGCGGUGGUAAGGCAGCAAUAUUUUAAUUGCUUUAUUUCACUGACAGUGCAAAUAACAGCAGAUAGUGAUGAAACCAAGCAGAAAAUGCUAAAGGCAGAAUCUUUACCUGUCUUGAUUUCCACUUAGUAGGCACCAUUAUUCAGGACAUAAUAAUACUUAUAAGAACCCCUUAAUAUUAAAAAUCACUUCUUGUAGCAGCAAAACCUUAAACACUUAGUACCUAAUGAGGAUCUUGAAAUACCUUAUACAGCAGAAAUAAGGAAAAAGUUUGAAUAUUUGAGCCUACACCUCUUCUCUCUCUCUCUCUCUCUCUCUCUCUCUCUCUUUCUAUAUGUUUAACAAUUUCUACCAAACUACAGAACAGAGAGUGUGUGUGUGAGAAAAUAUAAAUAAAUAAACAAGGGAAAAAUGAGAAGUUGGGUUUCUGUUUUUGAACUGGAAAAGGACAUUGACUUAUUUGGAAGCCAAAGGCUGGCACUGACAAGCGUCACUAUUCUCCAAAAUAAACAGUAAACAAUGCCAUGAAAUAAAAAAGAAACAGUAAAGAGUGCCAAAAAGAAAUACNNNNNNNNNNNNNNNNNNNNNNNNNUCAGUACUGUCGCACUUUUUAAUUCCUUAAAUAAAAGAUUAAAGGUAAAGGGGAAAAAAGUAAAGGAGAAAAAAAGGGGGAAAAGAAAAAGGAAAAAAAGUUUCAAAUUAUGCACUUUCCCAAAAAACUCACAUAUUUAAGUAGGAAAUAAAUAAGAUUUAAUUGGGAAACAUUAAUGAUGAAAUAACUGAAAUGGAAAUAUUAUUAUUAUGAUUCGAAUAGCAUUCAACUGGAAUGUACUUAUACAAGUUUCAAAUCUCAAACUCGCGCCUGGUGAUUUUAUUCACACAUUUAAUAAGAAAUAAAUAAGAUUUAAUUGGAAAAUAUUAAUGAUGAAACGAUUAAAAUGAAAAUAUUUCAUUACGAUAAGAAUAGCAAUGUCUUAACUACUAGAAUUAGCCUCUAAUUACUAAUAUUUCCUUUAAUUAGGUAUGUUGACGAUAUUCUUACACAAUUAAACGUCUCCCUUUCAAAAAUGUUUUUUUUUUUUGGUUUAACUUUCUUGAAGUUUAAGCAAAUGUGACAUACGUUUUGCAAGUUUAAGAAGAUUAGAUUCCUUUCAUACUGCAUUGGAUCUGAGAAAAAUUUAAAAGGAUUUAAAUGCAUAAAUAAUCGUUUGAUAUAAAAUCUCCCAACUUGGAAGAAUUUAAAAUUUAUAUUUGUUUAACGGCUUUAAAAGUAGUAAGCAUUAUAAUUAGCAUAUCGUGACAAAUCAAGCCAAGCUGGAAAAAUAAAAUAUAUCUACAUAUAUCACAUGAAUGUUAAAUCAGUACUUUUGCAAAAGAAAUGGUUUAAGCCAAGCCUCUUAAUUCCCUUUUCUAGAAAAUUACGUGUAAAUGAUGAUGAUGGUUUAUUUAGCUGUCACUUAUUGAAGGAUAAGACUAUAUAUGCAAGUAGGCUGGUUUAUCUUUAUUAAGAAGGCAAUUAAUUAGGUGAAGAAUAUAUGAAAACAAGUGUUAGUUGUUGAUAAAGGGAUAAUAAGCACAUUAUAAUCCCCACAUUGCACCACACGAUGCGCUUACCUUCUUCUUGAAUCAUCAACAAUGAAUCAAUAAUUUGUUAUUUCGUGAUUGUGACUUCACAUAAUAAGUUGCUAAUACAGACAUUAGGGUUCCUAAAGUCAAAUUCAUAAUUACCUACUUCCACAUUAUAUAUGUGGUCAUUCAAGCUUAUAAGUCUAAAUUCCAACAUUUUGUCUUUGAGUUGUUUACUUGGUUGCACAAAACAAGUCUAUUUCAUGGUUCUAGGCCCAAAUUCAUUUUGGCGCACUUUAUCUCAAGGCCCAAAGAAGUUAACUUCUACGCGAUCUAUAUGAAAAUAACUUUGCAUGGGCAGCCCGAUGCACAAGGUAUCAUGGGCUCAUGCAGGAUCUAGGAAAGAGCCGCAUUUCAUAUGGUACAUAUGAUGUAGACAACUUAUUCUGAUGCAAUCAUUUGUGGCUGCUUCUUCGCAUGUGGAGGGUAUUUUUGUAAGCAAACAAUUCUUAAAAAAAUUAUGCAAUGCAUAUUAUUUUUAAUAUACAAAACCAAACAAUUAAUAGAAAAUAAUCCAAAAAUAACUAAUCUCAAUAUUACUAAUACACUAUAUUCAGUAUUAUUCUUACACACCCUACUAAACUACCCGUCAGUGUGCAGUAUCAAAUUCAACGCUAAUAAGAUCAUGUUAGAUAUUCAAUUGAUGUGGCAUGUCCACGGAAAUUGAGGCCAACCAAGUUUUGUCAAAGUAUUUCAAAUGAUAUGUUCCAAGUCCGAACCAAUCAAAAACGCCUUCAUCACAUUCCAAGAGGUUCUUCGUAAAGUCAAAGGAUCUGCAAGAUAGCCAAGAGAGUACUCUGGAGAACACUAAUUUCAAGAUCCUCAUCAAAAAAAUAUUCAGUCAUUUAAAUGAAGUUCAACUUUCUAUAUCCUUUUUUUUCUCUUUUUUUUAUUAACGAAUCGGAAUGACAAAUAGGUGAAUUUUAGAUGCCAUUUACAAUAUCCUUUUUCUAGCUAAUAUUGAAAAGGAGAGGUCAUUAAAAUAACUGAGCUUAUUAUAGUACACAAGACAAUACUAUAGACAAACAAAUGCCAACUUGAUUAAUGACAUCACCCUAUACCCACACAAAACAAAACAAACAUUGUCAAUUUAGUACGGAAUCAUGUGUUUUGAGUCACUUGACACAUACCAGUCAUCUGAAAAGCUAUUCUCAUGUUUUUCAUCUAUGAAAAGCAACUGUCUUUUAUCAGAUUCUGAACAAGAUUUCAUUAUUUAUCAUAGAAUAGAGCACUGAGCAGCAACACUGAGAGUGUAAAGAAGAGAAAUGGUUAUAAUGGAGAUGCAAUCUUGGUCAAAGGAUGUUUUCCCUUUUGUUGCAAUGGUGUUGGUGGAAUGCUGUGAAAUGGGAAUGAUUACACUUGGAAAAGCAGCUAUGAAUGAUGGAAUGAGUAAUCUUGUUUAUGUUGUUUACUAUAAUGCCCUUGGUACCCUUCUUCUUCUUCCUUUCUUAAUCUUCCAUAGGUGCAGGUUUGUCAAAAUCAAAUGCUCUUCUGCUAUUUUUUUGUGAUUACUUCUUUACUUUUUAGUAGUUCAAAUUUCUAUCUUUUUUUUUCCAGAAGCAAUAUGGCUCCUAUUACAUUGUCUAUACUGUGGAGAUUCUUCCUUCUUGGUCUGUUGGGGUAUUGUACAAAUUUCUUCUCUGUUUUAUUGUUAUCAAAUUGGGGUCUUUUCGAUUAAAACAAAUAAAAUCAGAACUUUGCUUGUAAACUCUAUUGCAGAAUAUGUUUGCUGCAGGUCCUGGCCUAUACAGGUAUCAAAUACAGCUCUCCUACUCUGGCAGCUGCUUUAGGGAAUUUGAUGCCUGGUUUUACAUUUUUGCUUGCCAUCAUUUUCAGGUAUAGGACUGCCAAAUUGGGCUUAGCCAACUUCUACUUUUUGUUAGAUUCAGCUUGUUUGGAUGAUUGUUAUCUAUAGUAUUGUAUGCUGUUACUUUAAAUACAAUAUUUAUUUUGAUUGUUACUUUAAUUUUGUUGUAUCGUAUCGUUAAAUACAUCGUUAUGUAACGACGGAAAGUGUCACUUUAUAAAACGACGGAUUUGGUAUGGUGGCGUCGUUUCUUUGCUUUUUUCCUCUCAUCUUCCCUUUCUUUAUUAUUAAAUAAUUAUAUUUUAUUCUUUAUCCUACUUUUUUAUAUAAUAAUUCUAUUCUGUAUCCUAUUUUUUCUUAGUAAUGUUGCAAGUUUAUUCUUCAUAUUUUUAGUGCGUGAUAUCAUGAAACCAGGGGCGGAGCCAAAGUGUUGUUUGCGGGUUCGGCCGAACCCAGUAGUUUUUGUUCAAACCCUAUAUUUGUAUUAAGAAAUUCAAUGAAUAUGUACAAAUUAUUAAUUUAGAACCCAGUAACUUAAAAUGAUUAUAAUCUCGAACCCAUAAGGUUCAAAUCCUAGCUCCGCCUCUGCAUGAAACGACGGCAAACGAUACAAUCUAUCCAAACAUUGUCUUUAUCUAACAAUACAAUACAAUACAGUACAAUACAAUACGAUACAUUAUGAAACGACAUGUAACAACAAUCUAAACAUGAUGUUAAGUAACAUGCUCAUACAGUAUAAGGACUCUUAUAUUAUCAGUUAGCUUAACAUAUUGUAGUAGAAUAACUACCAUUUUUAUUAGGUAACCAAGUAAUGUUUGUCGUAGAAAUUUACCUAUAAUUAUUUUAUAAAUGACCAGGCUGUAUAAAUAUAUUUUAUACUGUUAGUGCAGUAAACUCACUUUUGUUUCUGAGUCAGAGUCCGCAGUUAGGUGUCUCCAGUACUUUUUUUUUUGGUUUCUUACCCGGUGUCCGCCUUGGCGUAACUCGUAAAGUUGUCAUGUGACCNNNNNNNNNNNNNNNNNNNNNNNNNUUCGAGCUGUGGAAACAGCCUCUUGCAAAAAUGCAGGGUAAGGCUGCAUACGAUAGACCCUUGUGGUCCGGCCCUUCCCCGGACUCCGCGCAUAGCGGGAGCUUAGUGCGCCAGGCUGCCCUUUACCCGGUGUCCGGUACUCGCAUUGGAGCAUGACUAUAUCUGGAUUCGCACUGCGUAGGACCCCAUUGGGGGGAAGUGCUCCCUGCCAAGAUUUUUCCAUACCCAAGGCUCGAACCCGAGACCUCUGGUUAAGGGAAGAGCAGCCCCAUCCGCUGCACCACAUGGUGUUUCCAGUACCCAAGUUAUUUUCUCAAGGCAUAUGCAAAAAGUUGUUAUCUUCUGAUUUAAACACAUAUCUUUUGAUAGUGCUGCAAAACCACUAGCUUCUGCCACUAAAUAGCCUGGUCUUUUGGACCAUGAGCUUUUUUCCCUCUAAAAUAGUUGAAUAGUAGAAGUGAUACUAUGCAAGAUUGCAAGUUUUUAGUUGUAUCUAGUGGUUCACAUGUUCAGAAUUUCUCAAGGUUUUUGCAAAAUUUUCAGGAUGGAGAAGUUAGAUAUAAGAAAGGCUAGCAGUCAAGCAAAAUCUCUUGGCACCAUAGUGGCAAUUAUUGGAGCAUCUAUCAUGACUCUAUACAAAGGGCCAAAACUACUUGGAUCAUCUACUUUACCUUCUCAUUCAUCUCAUCAUCACUCUUUACUUUCACAAGAAUCAAAUUGGCUACUGGGAGGUCUUCUCAUUACCAUCACCUGCAUCAUGUCUUCUGGAUGGAACAUUCUUCAGGUAAAACAUAUUACAUGUAAUUCAACAAUGAGAAUGAAUUUGAAGUUAAAAACCAUCUUCACAAUCUUUCAGAGUUAGCAGUGUGUUUCGUGUAUGUAGGACUUAUUUCAGUUAAUGAUAAUGCCGGUAGAACAUCGUGGAAACAACCUCUUGCAGAAAUGCAGGGUAAGACUGUGUAUAAUAGACCCUAGUGGUUUGGCCUUUUCCCCGAUACCGCGCAUAGCGGAAGCUUAGUGCACCGCGCUGCCCCUUUUUAUACUGCCUGUAGAACAUGUCAUAGUAGAGGAUGCUUCAAUCUGUUUCCAAUUCAUACCUCAUAAGUCAUAAAAAUUCAUUUUGCCUCUAGCAACCUUUUGGUAGGCUCGAUUCAUUUUACACUUACUAGAAUUUCACUUACUACUUAGUGCCUAAAUCCUUUAAUUGUAGACUGCUAAGUUGCUCCGACAUGGCAGUUUAGGUGUCGUACCCGUGUCGACACGACACUAGUAUGAGUGUGGGUAUGGGAUCCGUACCGGAUCUGGUCAAAUAAUUUUUGGUACUUUGACCGCGACGGCCGGAAAAAUUCGAGACGAGAUACAAUUUGAUUCUCCGAGGUUAAAUUUGAAGAAAACAACAUACCUUAUCUAUGAAAUCAAUCAUUUAUUUACCUACAACUUGAGAAUAAAAAAGAAAUCCACACUUUACAAGCUAUACAUAAGUAUUCGACAAAAUUUCUCAUAAUUUAGAUAUUUUUUUAUAUUUUUUGAAUUAUAUUUAGCCGGAUCCCCGCACCCGUAUCCGUACUAGGAUGAUAUCCCCGAAUCUUAGAAUUUACAUCUCGAAGGAUCCGACCUCUAGAUCCGCACCCGUGUCAAACACCCGCACCCGUGUCCAAGCAACGUAGGUAGACUGUCGUCAUCUCAACCAUUUUAACAUUACUGUGGCUGCUAAUUUGAUAUUGGUUUAUAGAUAAGCAGGUUUAUAUCUCAGAAUUAGGACAUUAUUACAAAUUCAUUUCAUGUUGUACUCGUUUAGACAGAUACGGUGAAGAAAUACCCUGAACAAAUGACAAUAGUGUUCUUCACUUGCUGCUUUGGGAGUAUUCAGUGUGCAAUUUUAACUCUGGUAUUAGAAAGAAAUCCAGAGGCAUGGAUGGUGAAGCCUGGGAUUGGAAUUAUAGCCAUUGUUUUCUCAGUAAGAAAUUUGAUGCUUCAUUUUCAGUUCUCUUCUGCACCUUGUUCUUUAACAGAUAUCUGAUUCUGUUUUCUUACACACUAGGCUGUAUCUGGAAGUGUGUUUCGUUACAACGUUUUGACAUGGUGCUUGGACAAGAAAGGUCCUCUUUAUGUAGCGAUGUUCAAGCCCUUGGGAAUGGUAAUUGCAGCAAUCUUGGGGAUCCUAUUUCUUGCCGAAUCACUCCAUUUAGGAAGGUAUAUAUAAAGCCAUUCUUUUCCUCAUGUUUACACAUGAUUGAUCAAUUAGCUUUGAGUUGCUUCUAGUUAUAUUACAAAAACUAGGUUGACAAACGGACACUACUAGUUUAGGCAUAACUACUAUUGCGAUUAAUACUACUACUAGUUUAGGUAUAGCUACUGCUACUGCUACUACUACUAGUACUACUUCUACUUCAACUGUCGCACCCUGCUCCCUGUAAUACUCUCUUUGUUUAAUGUUUAAGUUUUUCUUUUGCUGACCAUAAAAAAAGCUUGGGUUGCUUGCAAACAAAUUAAUGCAUCUGCAAUUCUCUUUUCCGCUGUAUUGUAAUUUAUAAUUACAUGACUCAUCUUCCUUCUGGUUUUGAAGUAUUAGUUUUUAAUGCACAUAUAUAAUUUCAUGAAGUAAAUUUUUUGUUACAAUGUGGUGGGCAGUGUUAUAGGAGCAGUUAUCAUAUCUGCUGGAUUUUAUUCUGUGCUGUGGGGAAAGGCCAAGGAGAUCAAGUCAAUGCUUGAGAUUGAGGACACUGUUUGUAUAAUUGACUCAUCAAGCCAAAGAAGCCCUUUAUUGCAAAAGUAAAUUUCAUUAAAAAAACACAUAAAAUAAAGUGUUACUUAUGGCCCUUUGACUAUGCUGCUCAGCCAUGUUAAUUAACACUACCCUUUCACAAGUAUUUGAAUGCAUUGGCGAGUGCUGCUUAAUUUCAGAUGAAGAUGAUAAAGGCUAGUGGAUGAGGCGUCAGAUAAACGAGACGCAAAUUAGCCACAAGUAGACCAGUACUACAUAGAAGAAAUGGAUUCAUGAUUUAAAUUUGAAGAAUUCAAUAUUUUUAUUUAUACGAUUGAACUCUGUAGAAUUUAAUAUUUAUAGAAAUUUUGGUUUUUCAAAUAUAUAUUUAUGCUCAAUGGAAAAUGUUAGGUUCAAUUGAACUCAUGUUGCAUCCGCCUCCACUUAAUAGGCGUAUGUGCCAAAACAUAUUGCAUCCAAAAACUCUUGAAGAAAGCAGAUAAUUAGCUUAAUUAAUACCAGCAAAUAUUUUUAACCUCCAAUAAAGAUUGUCUGUUUGCAUAAUUAUAUCAUUUGGUUAAACGUUGUUAGGGCAGAAAUUCGCUAUCCAGAAAUCUACCCCUUUCGAGGAGUGCAGCUUAAUUGAUUAGUCUACUUCCUGGAAUUCUGUCACUCUAUAAGUAUUAGGAGUAUUCAAGUGACAGAAAGUUAUUACUUUAUAAUUUAUAAGUGUUAGGAUAUCGACUCACAUGUGGACUUUUACCAGGCUAAACUGCAAAUGCUACUCUAUAAAAGAGAAAAAAAUACUUAUCUAUUCCGUGUUUACAGCAAAAUAGUAAACACUUUUUGUUUGUUGGAAAUAUUGAAUGAAGAUAAGUACUAUUCACCCGAUAAAACGGAGGACUAGUCUUCUUGUAGUAGUAACCUCCCCAUUGGCUUCGUUUAACGCCCUCAACAAAGUCGCAAGUUCUAGUAGACAACAUAUAAGGAAGAAAGAUUUGAUUAUUUGCUUAAGAUAAUAUUAUGAUAAUAUAUACCGCUGAAUUAAAGAUUUGAUUCGGUCAAAAGGGGUUGGUUAAAGCUAGAAUAUUAUUUACUUCAGAUACUUUUUUUCAGAAAGAAAAGAAAAAACAGACCGGUUAUUAAUGAUUUCAAAGAAGAGAGGGAAAAAGUGAUCAAUGGAGAAGGAGAACGAUGCAAAGUGAAAUAUACAUUCACCAUUCACUUGGGAAUUUAGAUAUUUAGGUGAAACACAUGUCAAAGCUGGAACAUAGAAGUUCUAUGUUUGAAUUUUAAGUCACACAUUAACAAAAAAAAAAUAAAAAAAAA
This 16789-nucleotide long non-coding RNA is filed under the name Nicotiana tabacum (common tobacco). RNAcentral describes it as "long non-coding RNA (NTAB_LNC010885)". Lineage: Eukaryota; Viridiplantae; Streptophyta; Magnoliopsida; Solanales; Solanaceae. The record is from RNAcentral.